GGAAGUAAAAGUCGUAACAAGGUUUCCGUAGGUGAACCUGCGGAAGGAUCAUUACUGAUUUAGCGAACCGAGCAUUAGCGAGGUUUUGCGAUCAAUUUAUAUUUAAAACCCACUCUUUAAUGUAUAAAAUUUUUGUAUUAAUGAUAAAUUAAAAGAUCACUUUCAACAACGGAUCUCUUGGCUCUCGCAUCGAUGAAGAACGUAGCGAAGUGCGAUAAGUAAUGUGAAUUGCAGUAUUCCGUGAAUCAUCGAAUCUUUGAACGCAUAUUGCACUUUCUGGUAUUCCGGAAAGUAUGCCUGUUUGAGGGUCAGUUAAAUAAAAAUCGGUGUUGUUGCCGCUUCUCGUGGUGACGCGUCGGAAUUGAGUUGUCUUACCUUCGGUUAAGUGACUUAAAAUUUUGUAUGAUUUUUGAACGUAUUUAAAUUUUAUUUGUACGUUUGAGAUAUCGAAUGUUUAUUAGGUUCGGUCAUUCUAAUGACCCGCGCCUAUAGUUUUUCAUUAAAUGACCUCAAAUCAGGUAAGAAUACCCGCUGAACUUAAGCAUAUCAAUAAGCGGAGGA
This 561-nucleotide ribosomal RNA is filed under the name uncultured Glomus. RNAcentral describes it as "eukaryotic LSU rRNA". The stretch from base 158 to 311 matches the Rfam family "5.8S ribosomal RNA". The record is from RNAcentral. Lineage: Eukaryota; Fungi; Glomeromycota; Glomeromycetes; Glomerales; Glomeraceae.